RNAcentral lists this ribosomal RNA (478 nucleotides) under Babesia caballi. RNAcentral describes it as "SSU rRNA". It matches the Rfam family "Eukaryotic small subunit ribosomal RNA", at positions 500 to 1039 of the family's 1831-position model. The record is from RNAcentral. Lineage: Eukaryota; Apicomplexa; Aconoidasida; Piroplasmida; Babesiidae.
GUCUUGUAAUUGGAAUGAUGGCGACUUAAACCCUCGCCAGAGUAACAAUUGGAGGGCAAGUCUGGUGCCAGCAGCCGCGGUAAUUCCAGCUCCAAUAGCGUAUAUUAAACUUGUUGCAGUUAAAAAGCUCGUAGUUGAAUUUCUGCGUUGCGUUGUUCUUGCUUUUUGCUUGAUUUUCGCUUCGCUUUUUGUUUUUACUUUGAGAAAAUUAGAGUGUUUAUCGCAGACUUUUGUCUUGAAUACUUCAGCAUGGAAUAACAUAGUAGGACCUUGGUUCUAUUUUGUUGGUUUGGGACCUUGGUAAUGGUUAAUAGGAACGGUUGGGGGCAUUCGUAUUUAACUGUCAGAGGUGAAAUUCUUAGAUUUGUUAAAGACGAACUACUGCGAAAGCAUUUGCCAAGGACGUUUUCAUUAAUCAAGAACGAAAGUUAGGGGAUCGAAGACGAUCAGAUACCGUCGUAGUCCUAACCAUAAACUA